AAUAACUCUAUUUUUCAGUAUUUUCAUACAAUAUUUUGACUUUUUAUCUUAUUUAAAAUUUUUUGUGAUUAAUAUUUUUAUUGGCACUAGAUAAUAAAUAUAAAUAAUAUUUUAUACGUGACUAUUUUUUAAAGUUUUUUAUAAAUUUUUUAAAUAAGAUGAAUGGUCAAACGUUGGACACGGGAAAAC
This 189-nucleotide microRNA precursor is filed under the name Oryza brachyantha (malo sina). Its description in RNAcentral is "MIR812 microRNA precursor family". It matches the Rfam family "MIR812 microRNA precursor family". The record is from Rfam by way of RNAcentral. Lineage: Eukaryota; Viridiplantae; Streptophyta; Magnoliopsida; Poales; Poaceae.